Molecule: ribosomal RNA, 523 nt
Filed under: uncultured bacterium
Lineage: Bacteria
Description: bacterial SSU rRNA
Rfam family: Bacterial small subunit ribosomal RNA
Source: RNAcentral
UGGGGAAUAUUGGACAAUGGGCGCAAGCCUGAUCCAGCCAUGCCGCGUGAGUGAUGAAGGCCCUAGGGUUGUAAAGCUCUUUUGUGCGGGAAGAUAAUGACGGUACCGCAAGAAUAAGCCCCGGCUAACUUCGUGCCAGCAGCCGCGGUAAUACGAAGGGGGCUAGCGUUGCUCGGAAUCACUGGGCGUAAAGGGUGCGUAGGCGGGUCUUUAAGUCAGGGGUGAAAUCCUGGAGCUCAACUCCAGAACUGCCUUUGAUACUGAGGAUCUUGAGUUCGGGAGAGGUGAGUGGAACUGCGAGUGUAGAGGUGAAAUUCGUAGAUAUUCGCAAGAACACCAGUGGCGAAGGCGGCUCACUGGCCCGAUACUGACGCUGAGGCACGAAAGCGUGGGGAGCAAACAGGAUUAGAUACCCUGGCAGUCCACGCCGUAAACGAUGAAUGCCAGCCGUUGGAGGGUUUACUCUCCAGUGGCGCAGCUAACGCUUUAAGCAUUCCGCCUGGGGAGUACGGUCGCAAGAUUA